RNAcentral lists this long non-coding RNA (201 nucleotides) under Mytilus galloprovincialis (Mediterranean mussel). Lineage: Eukaryota; Metazoa; Mollusca; Bivalvia; Mytilida; Mytilidae. The record is from RNAcentral.
GUUUUGGCUCUUAGCACUUCGCAAUAAACGUGUUGCUGUGUUAAACAUGUUUAGCUAUUCGUCAAGAAUAUGAAGCUAAACGUGUUUAGAUUCUAAGCACUUUGAAUAUUUAGACACUUUCCUAAACACGUUUAGAAUUACAACACAUUUAGGCCGAAGACGACAUUCAUAUCACGUGAUAAUUUUUGAGCGGGAGGACAA